GCCUACCAUGGCAAGUUCGAGCGAAGUCUUCGGGACUUAGCGGCGGACGGGUGAGUUAACGCGUUGGGAACGUGCCCUUUGCUUCGGAAUAGCCCCGGGAAACUGGGAGUAAUACCGAAUGUGCCCUACGGGGGAAAGAUUUAUCGGCAAAGGAUCGGCCCGCGUUGGAUUAGGUAGUUGGUGGGGUAAUGGCCUACCAAGCCGACGAUCCAUAGCUGGUUUGAGAGGAUGAUCAGCCACACUGGGACUGAGACACGGCCCAGACUCCUACGGGAGGCAGCAGUGGGGAAUCUUAUACAAUGGGCCAAGCUGAUCUAGCCAUGCGCGUGAUC
RNAcentral lists this ribosomal RNA (332 nucleotides) under Cereibacter sphaeroides. Its description in RNAcentral is "bacterial SSU rRNA". It matches the Rfam family "Bacterial small subunit ribosomal RNA", at positions 46 to 397 of the family's 1533-position model. Lineage: Bacteria; Pseudomonadati; Pseudomonadota; Alphaproteobacteria; Rhodobacterales; Paracoccaceae. The record is from RNAcentral.